GCUAGAGCCUUCUUGAUGUUAAAUAGACGAACCUCUACAAGUUUAUGUAGUUUAAUUCAGUGUUGUGUACUGGGUUUAUGUUGUAAUAUAUUGAAACCUCGGUAGAUAUUUUUGGACUUUAGCCAAAUUGGUUAAAGUAUCCGAGAGAAAUAGUUGGACAAGUUCCAAUUAGUAUUCCAACAAGAUUGGAAGGAUUAAAAGUGAGUUUAAAAGAGUUAAAGAGGUUUUUGCAUUGAUCGGUGCGAAAUAGAAUGGAAAAAGAUGCAAAAUAUGAAAUCUGGGCAUUUUGUGCCGGUAC
RNAcentral lists this long non-coding RNA (298 nucleotides) under Ananas comosus (pineapple). RNAcentral describes it as "long non-coding RNA (ACOM_LNC000972)". Lineage: Eukaryota; Viridiplantae; Streptophyta; Magnoliopsida; Poales; Bromeliaceae. The record is from RNAcentral.